GCGCCGGUGGUGUAAAGGCGUAGAGCAUUCCCGCCCGGUUAGAGGGAGGUGCGGGUUCGAGUCCCGCCUGGCGCU
Molecule: non-coding RNA, 75 nt
Organism: Heligmosomoides polygyrus
Lineage: Eukaryota; Metazoa; Nematoda; Chromadorea; Rhabditida; Heligmosomidae
Source: Rfam